This 137-nucleotide small nucleolar RNA is filed under the name Bombyx mori (domestic silkworm). Its description in RNAcentral is "Bm_56". Lineage: Eukaryota; Metazoa; Arthropoda; Insecta; Lepidoptera; Bombycidae. The record is from RNAcentral.
AAUCCCUGUUCUUACUGUUUCCCAGAUCAUCAAAUCUGGUGUAAUUAUAUGCGCCAGGGUAUAUUGUGAAAUUGGUUGUUAGGAUUCCAGGCAUUGACUUUAUGUAAAUGGCGAUAUCCUGAGAACCAUACAUUUUU